AAUCAACGCUGGCGGCGUGCCUAACACAUGCAAGUCGAACGAGAAAGUGGAGCAAUCCAUGAGUAAAGUGGCGACCGGGUGAGUAACACGUGACUAACCUACCCUAAAGUGGGGAAUAACCUCGGGAAACCGGGGCUAAUACCGCAUAACAUUGCGCGGCUGAAAGGCCAUGCAUUCAAAGGAGCAAUUCGCUUUAGGAGGGGGUCGCGGUUGAUUAGCUAGUUGGUGAGGUAAUGGGCNCACCAAGGCGAUGAUCAAUAGCCGGCCUGAGAGGGCGGCACGGCCACACUGGAACUGAAACACGGUCCAGACUCCUACGGGAGGC
This 325-nucleotide ribosomal RNA is filed under the name uncultured bacterium. RNAcentral describes it as "bacterial SSU rRNA". It matches the Rfam family "Bacterial small subunit ribosomal RNA", at positions 32 to 349 of the family's 1533-position model. The record is from RNAcentral.